UUUGCCCUGCAAACUUUAUUAACCUAAAAAGAUAAAAUACAUUAAAAGCGCACUUUCAAUAACUAUUCGUACUUGUAAACCAAAAAACGUAUUUUUAUUUAA
Molecule: long non-coding RNA, 102 nt
Organism: Rhagoletis zephyria (snowberry fruit fly)
Lineage: Eukaryota; Metazoa; Arthropoda; Insecta; Diptera; Tephritidae
Source: RefSeq, a predicted model, not a curated record